This is a non-coding RNA of Panthera uncia (snow leopard), 851 nucleotides long. The record is from the annotation of a RefSeq genome assembly. NCBI's taxonomy places the organism in Eukaryota, Metazoa, Chordata, Mammalia, Carnivora, Felidae.
AGUGCUUUCCCUAUCCCAGAUUGCUAUGGUACCUGUAACUCUCUCUGAAGCAGAAAAAUGGCAGUCCAUGAUUAAACAGCCAAUGUCUCAUAGGUUACCCAUUCUCUUUGUGUGGCAUUUCCCCAAUGCUUGUAGAGCUGGCAUCAAAAAAAAAACCCCAAACAAAAACAGUGUUUGAUCUCUCCUUUUGAACCACAGGAAACUGAAUCUAGGGCAGAGUUGGUUGGUGUGUUUCCAGGACAUUUAGAUGAGCUUGUCUGUGAUUGGCUGUGCAACCAGAUGCGACAUUCUGUUUUCUGAAACAGAUCUAGGCUGCAGAGCGUUCCUCUGCGGAGAUCCUUGGGUAGGAUCAAUGGAGAAGAGUCCUUUGGCAGCCUCGUUGCUAAUCUUGUGGCUUCAUCUUGGCCGAGUGUGCAGCGUAUUGGAUGUGAACCAGUAUCCUCUGUCGCUUCAUGUUCACGAAGGAGAAAACACCAAUUUCACCUGCCAUUUUCCUACCAGCAAUUUUUAUGGUUUACAGUGGUACAGAUGGGAACCUGCAAAAAGCCCCAAGUUCCUGUUUACAAUUGCUUUAAAUGGGGAUGAAAAGGAGGAAGGACGAGUAAAAGUCACUCUUGAUACUAAGAAGGGUUCUAGCUCCUUGUACAUCAAAGGAUCCCAGCCGGAAGAUGCUGCCACAUACAUCUGUGCCUUGACAGACACAGUGCUCUCCAGGCACCUGCAGCCCAUACCCAAACCCGUGGCUGGUGCCACGGUGCAACGCUGGUCUCAGCGUUGACAAGUGCCAUGUGCAGGGUGGAAAAGGCAAAUUCAUUGAGUUACAGUGUUUUCAAUAAUCAGAGGAAAGUGCA